GUCGUGAGAUGUUGGGUUAAGUCCCGCAACGAGCGCAACCCUUGUCCCUAGUUGCUACGCAAGGGCACUCUAGGGAGACUGCCGGUGACAAACCGGAGGAAGGUGGGGAUGACGUCAAGUCCUCAUGGCCCUUAUGGGUAGGGCCUCACACGUCAUACAAUGGCCGGUACAGAGGGUUGCCAAACCGCGAGGUGGAGCCAAUCCCAGAAAGCCGGUCGUAGUCCGGAUUGCAGUCUGCAACUCGACUGCAUGAAGUCGGAAUCGCUAGUAAUCGCGGAUCAGCAUGUCGCGGUGAAUACGUUCCCGGGUCUUGUACACACCGCCCGUCACACCAUGGGAGUGGGGUGCACCAGAAGUAGGUAGGCUAACCGCAAGGGGGCCGCUUACCACGGUACGCUUCAUGACUGGGGUGAAGUCGUAACAAGGUAGCCGUAUCGGAAGGUGCGGCUGGAUCACCUCCUUUCUCGGAAGCAGGGAUCAGGCAUCAGGCAUCAGGGCUCACGCUCGAGUGCUGGAAACCUGCAUCCCCAACCUCUUCCAAGUGCCCACGCUUAUCGGUUGUUGCCGCAUGGAGUCAAGGCGGUGAUUUGAUGCCGAGCGCGGGCCUGUAGCUCAGUUGGUUAGAGCACCGUCUUGAUAAGGCGGGGGUCGAUGGUUCGAAUCCAUCCAGACCCACCAGAGUGCGAAAUGGCGCGGGUCGCGAGCCGUCUCGCGUCGCAGGCAGGAGUGGCGCAGCGAAAGGGGCUGUAGCUCAGUUGGGAGAGCGCCUGCUUUGCAAGCAGGAGGUCAUCGGUUCGAUCCCGUUCAGCUCCACCAAUCAAGUGACCGAGGCGGCGCGACCUGGAUCAGCGAGAAACCACAAGCAAGCGAGCGAAUGUUUGCUUCUGGCUUUUUGCCGGACCGGAAGUUCGGUUGUUCUUUAACAAAACGGAAGAAGUAAAGCGCACGCGACGGAGCAUUGUCGCGUGCUGGGUUAGAUUGUAUCGAACCGUUCCCUCCCGAGUUCGGGGGGAGCGGGUAUCGCAAACACCCGUGAUGCGAGCAGAAGUGCUCAGCGUUAUGGGAUCAAGCGACUAAGUGCAUGUGGUGGAUGCCUUGGCGAUCACAGGCGAUGAAGGACGUGGCAGCCUGCGUUAAGCCCCGGGGAGCUGGCAAACGAGCUUUGAUCCGGGGAUGU
RNAcentral lists this small RNA (1177 nucleotides) under uncultured Burkholderia sp. RNAcentral's name for it is "bacterial SSU rRNA". The stretch from base 1 to 463 matches the Rfam family "Bacterial small subunit ribosomal RNA", at positions 1064 to 1533 of the family's 1533-position model. The record is from RNAcentral. Lineage: Bacteria; Pseudomonadati; Pseudomonadota; Betaproteobacteria; Burkholderiales; Burkholderiaceae.